GAUGAACGCUAGCGGCAGGCCUAAUACAUGCAAGUCGAACGGUAACUGAUGUAGCAAUACAACAGCAAGAGUGACGUACGGGUGCGUAACACGUAUGCAACCUACCCUUUACUGGCGGAUAGCUCGGGGAAACUCGAAUUAACCCGCCAUAAUAUCAUUGGAUGGCAUCAUGAUGUAGUUAAAGCUCCGGCGGUUAAGGAUGGGCAUGCGGUACAUUAGCUAGUUGGUGAGGUAAUGGCUCACCAAGGCUACGAUGUAUAGGGGGUCUGAGAGGAUGAUCCCCCACACUGGUACUGAGACACGGACCAGACUCCUACGGGAGGCAGCAGUAGGGAAUAUUGGUCAAUGGACGCAAGUCUGAACCAGCCAUGCCGCGUGAAGGAUGAAGGCCCUAUGGGUCGUAAACUUCUUUUAUUAGGGAAGAAAAAACGGGAUGCGUCCUGUACUGACGGUACUUAAUGAAUAAGGAUCGGCUAACUUCGUGCCAGCAGCCGCGGUAA
This 500-nucleotide ribosomal RNA is filed under the name uncultured bacterium. Its description in RNAcentral is "partial 16S ribosomal RNA". It matches the Rfam family "Bacterial small subunit ribosomal RNA", at positions 28 to 523 of the family's 1533-position model. The record is from RNAcentral.